GCCGGUCAUAUCUGACAACUUCGUCGAAUUUUGUCUACACUGGUUCCACGACUCUUUAUUUACAUACAGAUACAGAUACUGGAGGGUAAAAUUUCUACCGUAAACCAGUCGCUAUAUAUAGUCAACUCGGCCUAAGAUUACUCGGCCCAUAAAGUAAGAAUGCACCACGUUUCAAGAUAACCCGUUUUGAAAUAAACAUUAAUUAUACUGCAUAUACAUUUUGGUUUUAUUAUAUUUUAUUAAUAAUCACAUCAGAGAUCCUGAUAAAUCGUGUGCAUAGUUUAGCCUUAUCUAUUACAUAGUCGUCGCGUAAAUAGUUUAAAUUGGAAAUGUCCUUUCGUUCUUAAAAUAGAGCAUUGAAAGGUUCCCUGUUGAAAUUUUCCUUUACUCCAAAGGUACACGUGGUGAUGAAAACUUUUCGAUCUUCUCUGUCUUUAUAGAAUUAGCGUUUGUCAUGUCGUCAUAAUUCUUUUCGUAUUGCUCGGGAUUUAUCAUUACAGUUGCAAUGGACUGAAACGAAAGUAAAUUUCCGGUAAUAAUAUUAAAUGUGAUUAGCUUCAUUUUGAGAGCUGAGGGGUGAUGAUGAUAACAAGACUAAGCCAUUGGUAUCAGAAAGCGUCCAUUGCACGUACCGGGAUGUAUGCAUGUCAUAAUGCAUUAACGAGAACAGGGUUAAAACUCGUCAUGAGACAAAUCAGUUGGAACAUGAAGACUCAGCAUCAGAAACCAAAAGUAAAAUAGGGGACAAGUCAACUUAUUUAUGUAAAUAAAAUUAAACAAAAACAUUCGUUUUUUUUAAUUUGAUUAUUUUAGUUGAUGAGUUUUUUGUAAGCCAAAAAAGUGUCCCAUGAAAUUGUGUCUUCUGUGAAAUUUCGUUCACGGGACAGAAUAACACAUUUUUAAAUUGAAAUUUAAAUCAGGACAACAGAGAUGUAAACAAAAAUGGAAAGGUGAAUAUAAACAGCUAUAUGACUUUUUGUGUGAUGGUCAAUACCCUCUAGAGUUUGAUAUUAUAAUAAUGAAAGAAGAUCAUUUAGAAGGAAGGCCAAGCAAUUUGAAAUUAAAAACAAUGAAAUGUUUUAUAUACAUGUUGACAAAAAAAAACAAAAACCUGGAGAAAACAUUCAAACUUGUUAUUCAUAAAGACAAACUGAAACAAGUAUUGUACCUAUGCCAUAACGAGAGUGGAUGCAAUCUUGGGGUUAAUGAGACCUCUUGUUAAAAAAUGACAAUAAAAAAAAU
This 1242-nucleotide long non-coding RNA is filed under the name Mytilus galloprovincialis (Mediterranean mussel). The record is from RNAcentral. Lineage: Eukaryota; Metazoa; Mollusca; Bivalvia; Mytilida; Mytilidae.